Molecule: ribosomal RNA, 406 nt
Filed under: uncultured bacterium
Lineage: Bacteria
Description: partial 16S ribosomal RNA
Rfam family: Bacterial small subunit ribosomal RNA
Source: RNAcentral
AUUGAACGCUGGCGGCAGGCCUAACACAUGCAAGUCGAACGAGUGGCGGACGGGUGAGUAAUGUCUGGGAACCUGCCUGAUGGAGGGGGAUACCUACUGGAAACGGUCGCUAAUACCGCAUACCCUCGGAUGUGCCCAGAGGGGAUUAGCUAGUAGGUGGGGUAAAGGCUCACCUAGGCGACGAUCCCUAGCUGGUCUGAGAGGAUGACCAGCCACACUGGAACUGAGACACGGGCCAGACUCCUACGGGAGGCAGCAGUGGGGAAGAUUGAACAAUGGGCGCAAGCCUGAUGCAGCCAGGCCGCGUGUAUGAAGAAGGCCGUCGGGUUGUAAAGUACGUUCAGCGGGGAGGCGUUAACCGCAGAAGAAGCACCGGCUAACGCCGUGCCAGCAGCCGCGGUAAUUC